Long non-coding RNA from Armigeres subalbatus, 371 nucleotides. RefSeq lists it as uncharacterized. The record is from RefSeq and is a predicted model, not a curated record. The transcript is spliced from 2 exons. NCBI's taxonomy places the organism in Eukaryota, Metazoa, Arthropoda, Insecta, Diptera, Culicidae.
AGUGCGUCGGUGUUGUCAAUACUUCUUUCCUUAUGUUCUUUAUAUAUAGGUAUAUAUUAUUAUCGAUUCGGUUCCUAUAUAAGGGGUGAAUGAAGCUGAACAAUACAUCAUUCAUAUCUGAGUUCUGGAAGAGAAUAGUAACCCCAAUAGAAUCCAGGAAAUUGUAAAAAUGCCGAACAAAAACGACGAACACGGCGCUGCAAUUCGCCAAGCUAUCAAUUCCAAUCCAAAUGCCAAGGGUGAUGAGAGGGCGGAAAUUAUAAAAGAAGCAAUAAAACAAUCCAAUGAAGAGAACAAAGGUCAAGGUAAAAAAUAAGCAGUGCAAAUGUAAUUCUGAAUGAAAUGAAUAAAAUUUAAUGCAGGAAAAUGUU